RNAcentral lists this ribosomal RNA (253 nucleotides) under uncultured bacterium. Its description in RNAcentral is "partial 16S ribosomal RNA". It matches the Rfam family "Bacterial small subunit ribosomal RNA", at positions 524 to 776 of the family's 1533-position model. The record is from RNAcentral.
UACGUAGGGUGCGAGCGUUGUCCGGAAUUAUUGGGCGUAAAGGGCUCGUAGGCGGUCUGUUGCGUCAGGAGUGAAAACUCGGGGCUUAACCCCGAGCCUGCUUCUGAUACGGGCAGACUAGAGGUAUGCAGGGGAGAACGGAAUUCCUGGUGUAGCGGUGAAAUGCGCAGAUAUCAGGAAGAACACCCGUGGCGAAGGCGGCUCUCUGGGACGGUACUGACGCUGAGACGCGAAAGCGUGGGGAGCGAACAGG